Triticum aestivum (bread wheat) is the source of this 114-nucleotide non-coding RNA. Lineage: Eukaryota; Viridiplantae; Streptophyta; Magnoliopsida; Poales; Poaceae. The record is from Rfam.
AUUGUACUCCCUCUGUCCGAAAAAGCUUGUCCCUAAAUGGAUGUAUCUAGCAUCAAGUUAGUGCUAGAUACAUCCAUUUGAGGGACAAGCUUUCUCAGACGAAGGGAGUAAUAG